This 1426-nucleotide unclassified non-coding RNA is filed under the name Bombus terrestris (buff-tailed bumblebee). RNAcentral's name for it is "misc RNA ENSBTSG00005022980.1". Lineage: Eukaryota; Metazoa; Arthropoda; Insecta; Hymenoptera; Apidae. The record is from RNAcentral.
UCAAGGCACGUGCAAUCCGUUUUGUCAAAAUUGCAAGGACUUUCCAUACGCGUGUAGCAACGUGUCUUUGCCGAAGUUGCAUCUGCGAUGCUCUUGUAACCCUUCAUAGCGGUGGUCAUCUCGCAGUUCCGCCGUGGCUUUUGUAUGUGUAGCACGCGUUAUUUCUUGUUUCUUCCAAUAAAAUAUUUUUACAUAAUGCGCAAGAGGAGGAAGAUAUGUGAAUGGUACAAGAUGACGUGAUCGACGUGCGUGUGUGAAUAUGUGCGAAGGAUGAUGCUGAAGUGGCGGUUUUCCACCCAAGUUAUUAGUUGUGUAACUCCAGUUUCUGAUCUAUGGAAAGUAGUGAAACGUCUUCACGAAAUACAAUUUCAUUCGUUUUCCUCCCUUGCAUUGGCACGCUGUGAGUGGUGUCGACUUCCAAAUGAGUGCAAGAAGAAGAAGAAUUGUAAAGAAUCCGUAAGUGGCCCUAGAAGACGCAGUCAUCGUGUGAGGUGUUGUCGGCAGGAACGAAGAGUCGAAGUUGUUGAAGAAGUCGUGUGACAUUUGUAUUGUUUCUGGUUAUAUACAACGCUAUUUCACAUAUCUAUGUAUAUAUAUAUAUAUUAUUAUAUUAUUAUAUAUUAUUAUAUUAAAUCUUCAGUUGGUUUAGUUGAAUGUUCAGUAAUGUAAUUUUUACAAGGUGGUUUUGUAUAUUAGAUGAGUAGCUGUUCGAUAUAAUAAUAUGUGUAUAUAUGUGUCGGAGAUGAAAGAACGCCGGAGCUCCUCCUUGGAUUCGCGGGAAUAUCGCAACUCUGUAACUUGGAUUAAACAAAUGCCGCUCCGAUUGUUCGAGAUUUAUGAUCAUGAGCUUGGGCUCGAGGCGACAAUCAGUCGCCGAACGUAGCCGCGGUCAAAGGGAUGAACGUUCUAUCUAACAAAGGCACAGAGUAACUCUAUACCUCUCCUUAAAAGAAAUAGUCGUAGCGACACGUGGCAGUAAAUACUUCAAUAGUUUCUAUCCCGCGGCCCGCCACACGCAGAUUUUGUCCUCCGGGUAAGAUGAUCGCCGGGUGUCGGCAUGCCUUUGUGGCGUAUGUUUAGCUAACGUGAGGACCCGCUAUAGAUCUUAAGAUUUAGUCAAGCGAAGUCCGUCAAAUAGACUUUGUUGCAACUACGGGAAGAUAGGAGAAACCUAUCCUCCACGAGCGUUGCCCCCCGUCAACAACCUCCCCUCAAGGGCGGCCAGCAUCUCUUUCAAAACGCCGAUAUGGAGAUCGACCAAUUAGCAAUAGCGCUAAUUUCCCUCACCUUUGGAACGAAAGCUUUCUUUGACGAAUCCGAGGAUCUCAUGUCCUUAGACCCAUCCAUUAUAGUUUUCCUCGACGGUAUCGUCGAGACGGAGAGUUACUCUCCGGUACGAUCUCGACGACGAUUCAAGCAACUCUCG